GCCAACUCUAGCCCAAACCCCUAUACAACUGUACUACCUACAAUACUAUAACCAAACCAUUUACCUACUAUAAAAGUAUAGGCGAUAGAAAUUUCACCUCAGGCGCAAUAGAUACAGUACCGCAAGGGAAAGACAAAAACUUAAUAAAGCACAAAAAAGCAAAGACAAACCCUUCUACCUUCUGCAUAAUGAAUUAACUAGAAAUAACUUUAUAUAGAGAACUUCAAUAAUAUUCCCCGAAACCAAGCGAGCUACCCAAAGACAGCUAAAAGAGCACACCCGUCUAUGUGGCAAAAUAGUGGGAAGAUCUAUGGGUAGUGGUGACAAACCUAUCGAGCCUGGUGAUAGCUGGUUGUCCAAGACAGAAUUUCAGUUCAACCUUAAAUUUACUUACAGAUCCACUAAUCUUCUCGUAAAUUUAAUUGUUAGUCUAAAGAGGGACAGCUCUUUAGACUUUAGGAAAUAACCUUUUAUAGAGAGUAAGACAUUCCACUACUACAGUUGGCCUAAAAGCAGCCACCAAUUAAGAGUGCGUUCAAGCUCAAUACCUGACUAUCCUUGAUUCUACUAACAACACCAAACUCCUAUAACACAUUGGACUAAUCUAUUACCCAAUAGAAGCAACAAUGUUAAUAUAAGUAACAUGAAAUUAUUCUCCUCGCAUAAACUUAUCUCAGACCGAAGUAACUACUGCUAGUUAACAGUCCAACUACCACAUUCUAUAUCUUAACAUAACAUUACUUAAACUGUUAACCCAACACAGGUAUGCAUCCAGGAAAGAUUAAAAGAAGUAAGAGGAACUCGGCAAACUCUACCCCGCCUGUUUACCAAAAACAUCACCUCUAGCAUUACUAGUAUUAGAGGCACUGCCUGCCCGGUGACACAUGUUUAACGGCCGCGGUACCCUGACCGUGCAAAGGUAGCAUAAUCACUUGUUCUCCAAAUAAGGACUUGUAUGAAUGGCCACACGAGGGUUUAACUGUCUUUUACUUCUAAUCAGUGAAAUUGACCUAUCCGUGAAGAGGCGGAUAUAACUUAAUAAGACGAGAAGACCCUAUGGAGCUUAAAUUUAAUAGUACAAACUAACAAAUUUAAAGCCAAGGCAACAACCCACCGUCCAUGUACUACAAAUUUUGGUUGGGGUGACCUCGGAGUAUAACACAGCCUCCGAAAAACAACACCAAGACCUCACCAGUCUAAGUAAAUAUAUAUAUAUAUAUUCCCAUUGACCCAAUAACUUGAUCAACGGACCAAGUUACCCUAGGGAUAACAGCGCAAUCCUAUUUUAGAGUCCAUAUCGACAAUAGGGUUUACGACCUCGAUGUUGGAUCAAGACAUCCUAAUGGUGUAGCCGCUAUUAAAGGUUCGUUUGUUCAACGAUUAAAGUCUUACGUGAUCUGAGUUCAGACCGGAGAAAUCCAGGUCGGUUUCUAUCUAUUAAAUAUUCCUCCCAGUACGAAAGGACAAGAGAAAUAGGGCCCACUUCACAAAGCGCCCUCACAAAUCGAAUGAUCAUUAUCUCAAUUCCAUAAACUACUGCCCCACCCCUAGACUAGGGAUC
This 1561-nucleotide ribosomal RNA is filed under the name Alouatta macconnelli. RNAcentral's name for it is "16S ribosomal RNA". It matches the Rfam family "Bacterial large subunit ribosomal RNA", at positions 426 to 2925 of the family's 2925-position model. The record is from RNAcentral. Lineage: Eukaryota; Metazoa; Chordata; Mammalia; Primates; Atelidae.